Long non-coding RNA from Oncorhynchus kisutch (coho salmon), 1567 nucleotides. RefSeq lists it as uncharacterized. The transcript is spliced from 2 exons. The record is from RefSeq and is a predicted model, not a curated record. Lineage: Eukaryota; Metazoa; Chordata; Actinopteri; Salmoniformes; Salmonidae.
CGUGAUGGACAUCUCGUCGGAAGUUAUGUGGUUAGAAUUUUGUUGUUGUUAUAAAACAAAUACAGACCUGCUAUGACACUAGUGUGAACACUAAAGGAACGAGCCUAAAUUGAGAACAUCACGAGAGGUUGUCUGAGUUCGGUUGGCAUGAAUUCCGCGGUCCGGUUCCCUUUUUUAGGACACUGAACACAAAACUCCCCAGGUUAUUUUGUCAUUAUUCCCGCACUACACUGCUGCAACAACAUUAACCCCUGCCAUAGCCCCUCACAUUAGUGCCACAAAAUUCAGAUUUUAGUCCAGAUUAUUUGUUUGCAAUAUGUGAUCUAUAGGCUAAGAGAGCUUCAUUAACUGUUAAUUCGAUUGUGGGGUUUGAAUAGUGUGAGAAGACGACAACAUGUUUGGUAAGAAUCAUAACAUAUGGUACAAAAUAUAUACUAGCUCUUAAAGGGGCAGUAGCCUAAAUUGGGUGUACAAUUGUCAAUUACAGCAUGAUUUAAUCUGCAGUUAUUCUGUUACCAAUAAUAUUUACAUGUUAAUAGUAUCUUCUGCUUACAAUUAUGUCUCACUUUUUAAAUAAAUGCAAUAUAUUAGCUUCCAAAAUGUAAGUAGGUAUAAGGUAUAUCUAGCUGUCCGAUAACACAGUCUGAUGGAAUGGCUUGUCCUGCACUUUGUAAAAACCCACAGUACAUUGAUUGAAUGUUGGAAAAAGAUCUUGGUUCCUUUCUAAACAUAGCAAUGUAAAUGCAAGGAGGACUCGGACCACAAAAUAGGUGAAGUGCAUAGGCAAAAGAGUUUCAGUCCUUGUUCAAAGGUAAGGGCGGUGUGAAUACAAAGAGAACUGAGAACUUUUCCUUUUUUUCUACCCCAGAGUUCACUUGAAAUAGGACUGUGUGAAAACACCCUAAAUGUCUAUGGUUUAUAUACGGUCUAUGGUUAAGACUCCUUUUGUCCUGACCUAGAUGAAGGUCUGAACUCUAUUUUAAAAGUACUGAAUUUCUUAUUCAUUUAAGUUCGUUGUAAUAGUCUUCGAACAAAAUGCUUACACCGGACUACAAGAAAGCUUUGCUUGAACGAAUCUCCUAAACUGUCUGCUACGGUGCUGUCCUUGGUUGCGCUUAUCCUCGACGAUUGUAAUUGCACUUUAAAUACACCAGAUGGAGAUGUUGCCACAAGAAUCCCAAGGUUUUGACCCUGAAAUUAAUAUGGAGAUAAUUUUUAUAAAUACAUUGUAAAUCUGUACAUGUGAGUUCUUCAAUGGGGUUUCAGUGUUAUAUUGUGUUUGAAGUAGUAUGUCUUUGCUGGUGUUCUCUGGGUCUGAUACAGUCAACACGGUGGAUUCGGGCCUAUUCUGACUCAAGGGACUCGGCAUCGACUCCGACUCGGGGGACUUCAUAAAGGCCGAGCUCUUCCUGACUCCAGCGGAAUCAUAUUAAGCUACUCGGGUUCUGGCUAAUGGUACUCGAGCCGAGUACACUUCAGCAUACCAGGCCCAAUUCAACUUUUUCAGAAGUAUGCCAUAUGAGGUAUUUAUUCGUCAGAUGAUGGAAGAAUAAAGAAAAAAACAAAU